Callithrix jacchus (white-tufted-ear marmoset) is the source of this 253-nucleotide unclassified non-coding RNA. It matches the Rfam family "Metazoan signal recognition particle RNA". Rfam says of the family: The signal recognition particle (SRP) is a universally conserved ribonucleoprotein. It is involved in the co-translational targeting of proteins to membranes. The record is from Ensembl. NCBI's taxonomy places the organism in Eukaryota, Metazoa, Chordata, Mammalia, Primates, Cebidae.
GCCAGAUGCAGUGGUGUGGGCCUGUAGUCCCAGCUACUCAAGAGGCUGAGGUAAGAGGAUCACCGGAGCCAAGGGGUUCUGGGUGUACGGCACUAUGCCGAUCAGUUGUCCGCAGUAAGUUUGCCAUCAGUAUGGUGACCUCCCAGGUGGGAUAUGGAGCAAGUGAAAACUCCUGUGCUGAUCAGUAGCGGGAUCCUACCUGUGAAUAACCACUGCACUCCAACCUGGGCAAGAUAGCAAGUCCCCAUCUUUA